Long non-coding RNA from Papaver somniferum (opium poppy), 760 nucleotides. RefSeq lists it as uncharacterized. Lineage: Eukaryota; Viridiplantae; Streptophyta; Magnoliopsida; Ranunculales; Papaveraceae. The transcript is spliced from 4 exons. The record is from RefSeq and is a predicted model, not a curated record.
UAUCUCUUCGUCCAUCUAGUAUCCCUACCAUAUUUCUCUUCUACCCGAGAGAGAGAGAGACUGCACUUUUUUCUUAUUCUUCUCCGCUCACUUCAAUCACCACCACAGAGCACACCACCACCAUCCAUUACUAAUUCCAUCAAUCACAACAACAACACCUUCUUCUUCUUUAUCUUGUUCUUCUCCAUUGACAGAUCUAAGUUUUAUGUUUGUCGGGAAAUUAAACCUAAUCGAAACCCUAAAAUAAUUGGAUCGACCUCUUAUACCACCACUACCAACAUCUUUUUCUUAUUUUUCUUCUUCUUUACCUUCUUCAACAGUAAUCACCAAUUGGUUCACAUACCAACUCCAACAACAAUCAACAUCAUGAGGCAGCAGUUAGUUCACUCGGUCAUCCAUCUUAUUGUAUGCUGGUGGUGUUGGUUAAGCUAGCGGUGCUAUUAGUGGUGGUAUUUGGAGGUGUUGCUGCUACGAGGUGGUGGUGGUGGUGCUCUCUUAAUAAUUACAUGGGAGCUCAAUCUGAGAAAGGUGCUUAUUUGAAAUUACCAACUUGAAUUGUGUGUAACCUUACGAAGUGUUGGGUUUGUUCACUUUACCGCAUGUGUAUCAAGUGCGGUGGGUUAGUUCAACACUAGGCAGUUUAUCAUUUUACUGAAUUCUUUUUUGUAUGAUUUUGAAUCCAAGUGUAAACUGAAUUUAGUUAUAAAUUGUGUAAUGAAAACAGUUAAUCAUUAAUGGAAAGGUCAUUUUGAAUCUGAGA